This 420-nucleotide ribosomal RNA is filed under the name uncultured bacterium. RNAcentral describes it as "bacterial SSU rRNA". It matches the Rfam family "Bacterial small subunit ribosomal RNA", at positions 355 to 774 of the family's 1533-position model. The record is from RNAcentral.
UAAGGAAUAUAGCUCAAUGGGAGAAAUCCUGAAGCAGCAACGCCGCGUGGAGGAUGAAGGGUCUAUGACUUGUAAACUUCUGUAAAGAAGGAAAAAAUUCCCAUUUGAUGGGAGAUGAUGGUACUUCUGGAGUAAGCCCCGGCUAACUACGUGCCAGCAGCCGCGGUAAUACGUAGGGGGCAAGCGUUGUCCGGAUUUACUGGGUGUAAAGGGUGCUCAGGCGGAUUUGUAAGUCAGAGGUGAAAUCUUACAGCUUAACUGUGAAACUGCCUUUGAUACUGCAAGCCUAGAGUAUGGAAGAGAGUGAUGGAAUAUCUGGUGUAGCAGUGAAAUGCGUAGAUAUCAGAUAGAACACCAAUGGCGAAGGCAGUCACUUGGUCCAUUACUGACGCUAAAGCACGAAAGCGUGGGUAGCAAACA